AUGAUCAUACUUCAUAGGAUCAGUUGUAUAGUGUGAUUGCCGAGUCCCUCGUCUAGAAACUCGGAUCAAAUUCAACCACGAUGAAGACCUUGAGUGUGAUUCUCUGAGCGGGGAAGCUGCUCUUGAAUUCUGAAGAGCAUUGAUGACCGUUCUGGUCUGUCCCUCUCCGAAGUUCAGGGGAGGAUCGCACAGGCUGAGUGAU
RNAcentral lists this small nucleolar RNA (202 nucleotides) under Penaeus japonicus. RNAcentral describes it as "small nucleolar RNA U3". It matches the Rfam family "Small nucleolar RNA U3". From Rfam's summary of the family: Small nucleolar RNAs (snoRNAs) are involved in the processing and modification of rRNA in the nucleolus. There are two main classes of snoRNAs: the box C/D class, and the box H/ACA class. U3 snoRNA is a member of the box C/D class. The record is from RNAcentral. Lineage: Eukaryota; Metazoa; Arthropoda; Malacostraca; Decapoda; Penaeidae.